GGCAGCGUGGCCGAGCGGUUAAGGCGAAUGCUUUAGGCGCAUUUCCGAAAGGGCGUGGGUUCGAAUCCCACCGCUGUCA
RNAcentral lists this transfer RNA (79 nucleotides) under Orchesella cincta. It matches the Rfam family "tRNA". From Rfam's summary of the family: Transfer RNA (tRNA) molecules are approximately 80 nucleotides in length. Their secondary structure includes four short double-helical elements and three loops (D, anti-codon, and T loops). Lineage: Eukaryota; Metazoa; Arthropoda; Collembola; Entomobryomorpha; Orchesellidae. The record is from Rfam by way of RNAcentral. RNAcentral also lists the same sequence under 1 other name.